This 27-nucleotide non-coding RNA is filed under the name Homo sapiens (human). Lineage: Eukaryota; Metazoa; Chordata; Mammalia; Primates; Hominidae. The record is from RNAcentral.
UGUGCAGCCAUUUGGACCUCAGUAUGA